AUGGAGUGCUGGUGUCCUACUACAUGCUCUCUUGGUUGGUGUUCUUCCAUUUCAAGGCGACUCCUUAGAAGCUGUUUUUGAGGGCAUCAAGAAUGUGAAACUUGAUUUCCACACAGGAAUAUGGGAGUCCNAGCCUGCCCGUGAUUUAGUUUCAAGAAUGCUAACAAGGGAUGUUUCAGCAAGGAUAACCGCAGAUGAAGUGCUAAGGCACCCAUGGAUAAUUUUCUACACAGAGCGCAUGUUAAAGAC
Molecule: unclassified non-coding RNA, 249 nt
Filed under: Hevea brasiliensis (rubber tree)
Lineage: Eukaryota; Viridiplantae; Streptophyta; Magnoliopsida; Malpighiales; Euphorbiaceae
Source: RNAcentral